RNAcentral lists this ribosomal RNA (481 nucleotides) under uncultured bacterium. RNAcentral's name for it is "partial 16S ribosomal RNA". It matches the Rfam family "Bacterial small subunit ribosomal RNA", at positions 28 to 507 of the family's 1533-position model. The record is from RNAcentral.
GAUGAACGCUGGCGGCGUGCUUAACACAUGCAAGUCGAACGAAGCACUUUAUUUGAUUUCCUUCGGGACUGAUUAUUUUGUGACUGAGUGGCGGACGGGUGAGUAACGCGUGGGUAACCUGCCUUGUACAGGGGGAUAACAGUUGGAAACGGCUGCUAAUACCGCAUAAGCGCACAGCAUCGCAUGAUGCAGUGUGAAAAACUCCGGUGGUAUAAGAUGGACCCGCGUUGGAUUAGCUAGUUGGUGAGGUAACGGCCCACCAAGUCGACGAUCCAUAGCCGACCUGAGAGGGUGACCGGCCACAGUGGGACUGAGACACGGCCCAAACUCCUACGGGAGGCAGCAGUGGGGAAUAUUGCACAAUGGGCGAAAGCCUGAUGCAGCGACGCCGCGUGAGCGAAGAAGUAUUUCGGUAUGUAAAGCUCUAUCAGCAGGGAAGAUAAUGACGGUACCUGACUAAGAAGCACCGGCUAAAUACGUG